UCAAUUUCGAACCUAUGCUUGUUCUCUAUUUUUGUUUCAUUUUAGGUUCUAUUCGCUUAUUUUGAUUUUUGCGUGCUUUUUUUGUAAAACAUUUGGGGAGCGUGUUGGAAACAUGAAUUUUAAAAGAUAGAUGGAAACCCCUAUCUGAAGAUGCUGCUCUCUAUCUUUCUAGUCCAAUCCUAGAAAAAAACCACCAAUCGAAAGGCCUAGCAGAGGAGGACUUCUCUUCCCAUCGUCUUUGAGUCGUACCUUGUCGUAGAUACCCCCCUGUCAUCAUUAAUCUUCAGUUCAAAGGCCAAACUGAAACGCCAUCGCCAUUGUCUGAAAGAAAUCAUCGGAGUUGAUAUCAGUUCAACAUUCUAAGGUUCUAAGAGGAAAUUGUUAACAUGGAGGGUAUUGAAGAUGUAUACUUUGGAUUUUGACGAAGACUUUUAGACAUCAUAGAGCGAAAUGAUUUUUUUGUUAUAUUUUUUGUUGGUUUUUGGACUAUCCAUUAUGGAUCUAUGAUCUAAAAGUUACAGUUGUAUAUAUAAACAUUUUAUGAUAAAUUUGUUUUAUAUGAAAAUGGUUUAUUGGUUACAUUUCAUAA
This is a long non-coding RNA of Nelumbo nucifera (sacred lotus), 589 nucleotides long. RefSeq lists it as uncharacterized. The record is from RefSeq and is a predicted model, not a curated record. NCBI's taxonomy places the organism in Eukaryota, Viridiplantae, Streptophyta, Magnoliopsida, Proteales, Nelumbonaceae.